RNAcentral lists this transfer RNA (75 nucleotides) under Podarcis lilfordi (Lilford's wall lizard). RNAcentral describes it as "tRNA.Asn". It matches the Rfam family "tRNA". Rfam says of the family: Transfer RNA (tRNA) molecules are approximately 80 nucleotides in length. The record is from RNAcentral. Lineage: Eukaryota; Metazoa; Chordata; Lepidosauria; Squamata; Lacertidae.
AUCUCAGGUAGCACAGUAGGUCAGAGUGGCUGGCUGUUAACCAGAAGGUUGGUGGUUGAAGCCUACCCAGGGAUA